AAAACAGCAUCCUUAGGACCUCUUUCCAAACCCCUGCCUCAGCAUAGAGGAGCUCUCUGACAUUGCCACCAACUUCAGCAAGUUGGAAAAGAGAAGGCAGGCCAUGACCCAAGUGACCUUAUGUCACUCCUAAACUCAUGGCUUGAGUCCCUCCUACCAAAAAAUCUGCACUUUGAUCACACACCCACAGCGACCCAGAUCUUUAAAUUCAGCAAUUCUUUCUCGGGUUUCAGCAAGGCAUUGGCAGUCUGAGCUAUUUUGGGACAUUCUCUCUGCUGUGGAUGCCACUUUUGGAAUACGCCAGGAACAUGCUAAGGACCUGGAGCUCUCUACCCUGGACCCGAUUUUGGGUUUGCUUGCUUUCUCUCUCCUUCUCUGGGCUAAUCAUUUGGAGGACAGUCACUCCUGCCAACCUAAUCCCAGGAGCCUGACUACCUUGCCGGGCCACAGGCUCAAAGAGGCAGUGUGACUGCCAGCACACCCUCACGGUAAGGGGCACGGAGGCACCAGGCAGUCUGGCAGGAUGAGAGAGGUCCUGGGGGUGGUCUGAGUUUGGAUGUGGGCUGAGAAGAAAAACUAGGGGGCUUUCAGGGGACAAGAUUUUCCAAACAUCUUAUUCUUACGAUCAUCACUUCCUAAUCUGAUGCAACUGACUCGGCAGGCAUUCGGGAGCCUGUAAGCUCCAUUUUCCUGUUCCAAAUUCUUCUGCACCUCACCAGGAGUCCUCACAUUGACCCUAAUCAACUUGGGACUCUCUGCGAAGUACUUGGAAAGGAAAAGGAAGAUGGUGGCUACCCUGACAUGAUGACCACCCACCCAAGCUCCAGG
Sapajus apella (tufted capuchin) is the source of this 828-nucleotide long non-coding RNA. RefSeq lists it as uncharacterized. The transcript is spliced from 2 exons. The record is from RefSeq and is a predicted model, not a curated record. Lineage: Eukaryota; Metazoa; Chordata; Mammalia; Primates; Cebidae.